AGGAAACAGAGCAGGAAAACAGGGGAUUGAUCUUCCAUCAUAAAGGAAACGAACCAAAAUGUUCGAUCCUUUAUAGGAAAAUGGUAUGAAUUUUGGCAAGGUGAGCAAGAUUCCUUGGUUUUGAGAGAGAGCCUAAUGGGAUUACAUUAUUUGUUAAUAUUCAUCAUAUAUUGAUUUUCAACCUCUAAUAAAAAGAUGCACUAUUCCAAAUACAAUCAAAUUAAAUGAAACAUUAAACAGAAUUGGAAAACAGGGGAUUGAUCUUCCAUCCAAAGGAAACAGUCCAUUGAUCUUAGAAACAAUAGAUAACAACAUAGCAAAGCAACAAAAUCUAAAGUUACUACUUAACAGCAUAGCAAAGAU
Molecule: long non-coding RNA, 363 nt
Filed under: Setaria viridis
Lineage: Eukaryota; Viridiplantae; Streptophyta; Magnoliopsida; Poales; Poaceae
Description: long non-coding RNA (SVIR_LNC004987)
Source: RNAcentral